UCGUACGAGAAGUUCUGCUUCGGCAGGGCGAGUAAAGUGGCGAACGGGUGCGUAACACGUGGGUAAUCUGCCUUGAAGCUUGGGAUAAGCCCCCGAAAGGGGGUCUAAUACCGGAUAACGUCUCCGGAGGGCAUCCUCCGGGGACCAAAGAUGGCCUAUACUCGUAAGCUAUCGCUUUGAGAUGAACCCGCGGUCCAUUAGCUUGUUGGUGAGAUAAAAGCUCACCAAGGCUACUAUGGAUAGCCGACCUGAGAGGGUGUACGGCCACACUGGGACUGAGAUACGGCCCAGACUCCUACGGGAGGCAGCAGUAGGGAAUAUUGCGCAAUGGGCGAAUGCCUGACGCAGCAACGCCGCGUGGGUGAUGAAGUUUUUCGGAAUGUAAAACCCUGUCAGAGGGGAAGAAACUUUCCGGGGCGAAUAGCCCCGGAGACUGACGGUACCCUCAGAGGAAGCUCCGGCCAACUCCGUGCCAGCAGCCGCGGUAAUACGGGGGGAGCAAGCGUUGUUCGGAAUCACUGGGCGUAAAGGGUGUGUAGGCGGGUAAGUAAGUCGGGCGUGAAAACUCCAGGCUCAACCUGGAGCCUGCGUUCGAAACUGCUUGUCUUGAGUACGGGAGAGGAAAGUGGAAUUCCUGGUGUAGCGGUGAAAUGCGUAGAUAUCAGGAGGAACACCGGUGGUGAAGGCGGCUUUCUAGCCCGAUACUGACGCUGAGACACG
Molecule: ribosomal RNA, 720 nt
Filed under: uncultured bacterium
Lineage: Bacteria
Description: bacterial SSU rRNA
Rfam family: Bacterial small subunit ribosomal RNA
Source: RNAcentral